UGAGCAAUCUGCCCCUGACUCUGGGGUAAGCGCUGGAAACGGCGUCUAAUACCGGAUACGAGCUGUGAAGGCAUCUUCAACAGCUGGAAAGAACUUCGGUCAGGGAUGAGCUCGCGGCCUAUCAGCUAGUUGGUGAGGUAAUGGCUCACCAAGGCGUCGACGGGUAGCCGGCCUGAGAGGGUGACCGGCCACACUGGGACUGAGACACGGCCCAGACCUCUACGGGA
Molecule: ribosomal RNA, 227 nt
Filed under: uncultured bacterium
Lineage: Bacteria
Description: partial 16S ribosomal RNA
Rfam family: Bacterial small subunit ribosomal RNA
Source: RNAcentral